Molecule: ribosomal RNA, 458 nt
Filed under: Gnomonia monodii
Lineage: Eukaryota; Fungi; Ascomycota; Sordariomycetes; Diaporthales; Gnomoniaceae
Description: eukaryotic LSU rRNA
Rfam family: Eukaryotic large subunit ribosomal RNA
Source: RNAcentral
CUUCGGCCCGAGUUGUAAUUUGCAGAGGAUGUUUAUGGUGCGGUACUUACCGAGUUCCCUGGAACGGGACGCCACAGAGGGUGAGAGCCCCGUCUGGUAGAAUACUAAACCUGUGUUAAACUCCUUCAACGAGUCGAGUAGUUUGGGAAUGCUGCUCUAAAUGGGAGGUAAAUCUCUUCUAAAGCUAAAUACUGGCCAGAGACCGAUAGCGCACAAGUAGAGUGAUCGAAAGAUGAAAAGCACCUUGAAAAGGGGGUUAAACAGUACGUGAAAUUGUUGAAAGGGAAGCGUUUAUGACCAGACUUGUGCCGUGUGGCUCAUCCGAGGUUCUCCCCGGUGCACUCCACGCGGCUCAGGCCAACAUCGGUUUUUGUUGGGGAAUAAGAAUAGUAGGAACGUGGCUCUCUUUGGGGAGUGUUAUAGCCUAUUAUACGAUACCCUGACGGGGACCGAGGACC